This 6175-nucleotide long non-coding RNA is filed under the name Equus caballus (horse). Its description in RNAcentral is "lncRNA (ENSECAG00000048472.1)". Lineage: Eukaryota; Metazoa; Chordata; Mammalia; Perissodactyla; Equidae. The record is from RNAcentral.
CGGAGGCGUGCACGCGAGUGCAGAGCGCCUGAGCGCGCAGCGGAGAGCGCGGGCCGCGGCGGCGAGAGGCCCCGCCCGGGACCCGGGACCCGCCUCCGGCUCGGGGGCCGAGGCUGGGACUCUCGGGCUCGGAGGCAGACGGCGUCGCUCCUGCGGACCGAGACGCGGCGCGGCCUGCAAGCUCGGAGGGGCCGUCCGCGCUGGAGGCCUCCGGGGGCGCCGCCUGGAGAAGCCUCUUGCACUGCUCCCAGCACGUCCUCGUCGGUCUGGAGUUCACAGCUGCCCCGGAAAAGUGAACGCGCUCAAAGCCUGCACGCCCCGUCUGCUACAUUCUAACGGAACCCGGGAUUUCAGACCUGAAGUCAUUUAAACUGAAUUCGCUGAAAUGCCAAGCAAAUAAAACGACUAACGGCUUUUUAAAACGGCUAUUAGGGCUGCGUGAGCGGGGGGAGAAUUGCUUCCUGGAAAUGUGCUGAUGGGACAACUAUAGAAAGCAUUGGUCUUUGUUUUUAGCUAUUAAAAGCUGUAAAUCUAAACCGCUCAGAGGAAGAUUGAGCGGAGAUGAUGGAACCCGAUCCAUUGGAGAUCCUGAUACUAACCUGCCUCGUGUUAAAGCCAGACCAGCCAAGGACACCGGGAGGAAGCCUGCGAUGCGCGGACGUCAGGCGGCUGUGGAAGUGGGAAGGAGGGGCACUCCCGGGGAAGCGAGCAUCCCGCUGGAAAAGGGAGCAUGAAGCUGUUUCGUAAGGUUUAGGCUCCCACCAAACGAGUCAGGAGGGUCUAGGAGUGCGGGGAUCCGCUCUGGACUGGACGCUGUUUCUGAGGCAGGAUUAGGAAAAGCGGAGGUUAACCAGGGAUUGGAUGCUGUCUGAGGAGAAGACCGUUUAGGAACUGGGUACGCCCGGUAAUAAAUGAAAAUAGCAAAGUGGGCCUGAGCCUCCUUGGUGAGAAAGCGAAGAGAGGUGAUCUGGCAUUUUCCAGCUGCCGCUUGGCAGCAGGAAAAACACGAUUCUCUGUUAACUUUGCAGCCGGCUUUGUGUCCGUCCUCCCAGCACUGCUGUUUUUUCUCAUUUCAGCCUGAGCUGGAUUUUAUUCUUUUGCUUUUAAAUUCUUUAAAACCAAGAAUUUUCACUCUUUGACCAAGCGUGCAGAACUAGGCAGAAUUAGGGUUCUGCCUUUGUAGCUCCAAGCUGCUUUCAGUCCCAUUCUAACAUGGAAAGAAGUAAUUUUCACUUCAGCAGUUCAGUUUUCAUCUUGCCUCUCCUUAUUCUAACGUCAUGCGUUUACUGGGAAUAGAGAAAAGAUGGGAAUAAAGAAAGGAAACAGUCAAGAAGUUAGGAGAUGGGGUAAAGAAGGUAUUGAAUUGUAGAAGAGUGAAGAAACUAGUCCUGGGGAACAUAAAAGGAUGUUUCAUGGCUGCCCUUGUUUUAGGAACACUGGGGCAGGAGUAUGAGGAGGCAUUUUCAAAAAUUGGAGAAUGUUUAACCUUUCUCAGUGAUCCUAGGCUCACAGAGAUCCCAAAUGGAAAGAUCAAGGGCCAAAUUCAGCCAGCAAAAAUGUUUCACUUGGCCCACAUGGUAGUUUUCUAAAUAUAUUUUAAGUACAUACUAAAAUUCAAUAAAUCAGGACAUUUCACUUUAAAAUCUAGAUUUCUAGUUUAUCUGGAAAACACGAGAUCUGGGCCUCUUUACUGGGUCUCUAUUGGGCCUAUGGUGUGCUUCACUCAUUUUCAUUACCUGCCUGGCUGCUAUAGAAGUUUUUUUGUGACUUCUGAGAAUUCUACAACUUAAACAGAGAAAAUACUAAAAGUAGGUGAAAAGAAGUUGAACAAUUCAACUAGAGUCCAUGUCUGCCUUGUUCACUACUGUAAGAUAGUAAUUAAAUCAUUAUUAAAUGAAGAAAGAAAGAAACCAGGAAUAAGAGCAGCCAUUCUCAGGAAAAUAUGUUGAAACUGAGCUUUGGGCUGUGUUCAGUAUGGACUAAAAUGAACCCUAGAGAUACAGUCAGAGUCUGUGUUGGUAACUAUAGAGUUCUUAUCUACACCCAGAUUUGAAACAAUAUAUUCAGGGUACUGUAAAGGACAGCUGAGAAAGCGGGCAUGUCAAUGGAUAGAAUGGCGAAAGAAUUGCUUAGAUUAGGGAGGAAUGAAGAAUAGUUGCUGAAAGAGAAUAAAAUACAAAGACAAAAUGGACCUAGUUAGAGAAGAAUUGUGAAAUGGAUUUAGAAGCAGACGGAUUGAAAGCAAUGGGGAAUUAUUGUAUGGAUGUGGCUUCAUACGUAACUUCAGAGACUACUGAAGCUAGUCUAAAGCUAGACUGCUGGAGCUAAAGACAGCAUUAGAGAUCAUCCAGUUCUAGUCCAACUCCAACAUUUCACAAAUGGGGAGAUGAUGGUCGGGGAAUUUAAGAAAGCUGCUUAAAGUCACAAAACUAGGUAGGAACAGAACCAUGUCUAGAGGCCUCCUCACUUUUCCUCGUCUGCUGCUCUUGCCUCUACCCCACAUUUUUUCUGUUGCAGUGAUCCUCAGUGAAUUAUUAUUUGGUUCAUUUAAUAAUUAUUUAUUAAGCAUUUGUUCUGUGUAAAUGUUAGAAUUAGUAACCAUAACAUAGUCAGAGAUCAUCUUUGAGAUACCAUUCAGAUUAUUUGACCUAGCCAAAUGCUGUUCAGUAAUCAUAGUCCUUUGAAAUCUAAUUAAAUCUGUUAAUUGUACAGUUUUCCUAUAAGCCAUUUCAUAAAUGUCUAUGUCUCAUUAGAAUUGUAGACUUUAAAAACCAAAUAAAAUACUGACUACUUAGAACUGGAAUGAGGCAAAGGGUCUGCUAUUUCAACAAAAGAAAGCAAGCGCAUAUAGCAAUAGUCUAUAAUCUGAUUUUAAGUGAAAUGACGACAAUAUUUUUGCACUCAUAUUCUGUCUGAAUCAUUGAUAUGGAUAAAAUAAAACUAGCGGGGGCCGGCCCCAUGGUGCAGCAGUUAAGUUCGCAUGUUCCGUUUCUCAGCGGCCUGGGGUUCCCUGGUUCAGAUCCUGGGUUGGGACAUGGCACCGCUUGGCAAGCCAUGCUGUGGUAGGCAUCCCACAUAUAAAGUAGAGGAAGGUGGGCAUGGAUGUUAGCUCAGGGCCAGUCUUCCUCAGCAAAAAGAGGAAGAUUGGCAGUAGUUAGUUCAUGGCUAAUCUUCCUCAAAAAAAAAAAAAAAAAAACUAGAGAAUUAAAGGAAAUAUGUAGAAUUUGGCAUGUGUGAUACCAGCUUCUAAGAGGGCCCCUAAACAUUCUUAUCACCAGGUCCUGACACCUUUGUGUAUUGCCCUCCCACACUGACCUGUAUAAUCAAUGAGAUAUUGCAGAAAAAUAUGUGUGACUUUUGAGGCCAGCUCAUAGAAGGUGUUGUGGCUUUGCCAUGUUCUCUCUUGGAUUACCAGCCCUGGGAGAAGCCAGCUGCCAUAUCAUGAAGACACUCAUGCAGCCCUAUGGAGAGGUCACAUGGCAAGGAACUGAAGGCUCCUGCCUUGCCAGGCAUGAGAAUGAGCCACCUUAAAAGCAGAUCCCACAGCCCCAGUCAAACCUUCAGAUGAUUGCAACCCCAGCUGACAUCUUGACCACAAGCUCAUGAGAGACCCUGAGCCAGAGCCACUCACCUAAAUUGCACCUGGAUUCCUGAUUCACUAGAACUGUGUGAACUCUAAGUGUUUAAUUUUCUGAGCUGCUGAAUUGUGAGAUAAUUUGUUCUGCAGCGAUAGGUAAUACUGAGUGUAAAGCCUGGACCCCUGAAAUCAUUUACAAAGUUGUAUGUCUACGAGAAUAUGGCAGAACCAAAACAUUCAACUUGAUUUAAUAGAACUGUUUAUUUUUUUCCCUAAGCUUUCUCCCUUUAAAGGAAUGUACAACUGAUUUUGUUGUUAUUUUUGGCGGGGGAGGGAGAGGUGUGGUAUGCAGAUUCUUCCUUUCCAGGAACUGUUUGAAGACUGAGCUGAUUACAUCCCUAAAGAGAGUAGAUCAGCACUGAUAACUUGGGGUCAGCCUGCAGGGGCCAUCAACGUCUCUAGUAAAAGAAAAGAAGAGAAUGGAACUUUGUGUUGAGAAAUAAUGAAGAUUUGAAAUGACAAUGUAUAUAUUGAAGUGGGCAGGCAGAGAGGAUUGUCCAAAUGGCAAGGGUAUGGAUUGCUGGAUCUAAACUUGCCUAAGAAAGUCCUGCUGCCAGGAGAUGUGGAGUGAUUGGACUCAGAGAAGAGGAGAAGAUUCCUCUAGGAGGACGUGUAAAGUGCUCAGGAGCCUCGUGGGUCAGAGCACUUGCAACACCCAAGGCCUCCUCUCAUGCUGGAUGUGGAAGCCUGCUUCUCUUGUUAAGCACCAGGACGCCAUCAUUUUAUUACUGUUUGGGAAGAACCCAAGUUAUGCCCGGCAGUGCCACUAAGUUGGAUUCUUUGCCUUUUGACCCUCUGCAGUGUUGUAGGGCACCUCUGCCCAAAGAGACCCCAUGAACACCUGCAAGUGGAGACGUGGGAGAGGAUCUGAGGAAGGCACAACUAAAGAAGCUUGAGACCCUCCUCUCAACUACGACAGCGAUCGGAGGAAGCCCUUCUCAUAUGUGGAUGCCCGUUUUUCUGGGGAGAGAGUCUACAGCUUUCCUCAGAUUUUCAACAAAUAGAUCACCAAGGACUGCAUCUCCUGGGCUACCUGGCCAAAUUGGCUGCUGUUUGAGUUUGGCUGAUAGGAAGCACUGGCCAAAGAAGUAGGUCAGAGUAUUUCUUCCUGUUUCUCCUCUACUUUGACAAAGACUGUCAGCAGCCUCAUCCCUCUUAGACGACAGUGCCUACCUGGUGGUCCCUCUUCCACAGCUCCUGCUGUCAGCUGGCUCUCCUCCCCAUGUCCCUUCAGCCUGAGGGGUAUUCCUGGUCUCUGGGUGCCUCUCAGCCCUUGCUCAUCCCCUUAACCCUAUCCACAGCGCUGUAAGUCGUACUUUCACUAACACUUCUUCCUGUGGGUCACGUGGAGGGAAUUCUGUUUCCUGGAGGGGCCCUAACUGGUACAUAUUCUAUGUGCCAGUCACUGUUCUAAAUGCUUCCUGCGGAUUAUUUCAUUUAAUUCCCAUAUGAAGUCUAAGAGGUAAAUACUGUUAAUAUCGCCUUUUUACAGGGGAGUGAGCCGUUUACAGUGAGUUAACAUGAUGGCUACAUGGGAUUGUACCAGGGUGUCUGUAGACAUCUACACAGUAGGUAGUUUGCAAACGACUAAUGAUGUACCAACAACUUCUGAAAUCAAAUAUGUAGACAACAGCUAAUAAGCCAUUAGGUUGUUGUAUGCUAGUUGAUUAUGUAUCAUGACUGGAUAGAAAUAGACACUUUUGUUGCCAUAAAAUUACCUGUUUGAUCCAAUACACUAUUUAUUAGCUGUUCUAUGACAAUUCGACAGUCCCAGAAAACUGUUUUUGACUAUCUACAUAGUACUUAAAAUUAAUUACAGUUUUAUGAGGAGUUAAUUCUUAUUGAAAAUACGUCUUUUACGUUGCUACCACUAGGCAAUGAAAGUAGUUGAGAGAAGCUUAAUUCCCUCUAUGAAUUAGGGGGAAAUAUGGAAAAAUCAAAGCACAUUUUCAAUGAUCUCCCACACCUUUUCCACAUCUCAGCCCAUCCUCUGCUUGCCCCCUGUGUGUGCUAUAUACUUGGUGUCAUUUAUGUUUUCAGAACGACUGCUGGACUGCAGGACUGAAUUCGCACAUCUUCACUGACCCACACUCACAAUGGGAACAAAUCGGGUGUUCUUUACACUUUGUCUUCAGAAAACAGAAGAGGGCUUUGAUUUGGCUGUUGUGACACAUGAAGGCUAUCUGCUCGCCUGUCACCCUGGUUCUAGGGAAUGAUACUCUUGUGUUUGGGGCAUGCUCGACUUAGGGCUGGGAAGGGCAGCAGUGGAGCUAACAGCGCCUUCACUCACUCUGCUGGACGCCUACCAAGGGCCUGUUCAGGAGGAUGUUUUAUAUCAGAGCUUCAUUAGGACAGUAUGGAUGUAUGGUAACUGUUGCAGGCCAAGACUGUGACCAGGCCCCUUCCAUAAUGUUCCCCAGCACUGCUGUCUCUGACCUCUUCUCCCAGGCCCCAGUCCAUCCUUAGAGAGAGAUAUAUCCUGAUUGGUUUGUGUCCCCUAAGCUGUUGGACCAGGAACCAGGGGCUUUUCUCUCAGCG